AUUGAACGCUGGCGGCAGGCCUAACACAUGCAAGUCGAGCGAGCGGCGGACGGGUGAGUAAUGUCUGGGAAACUGCCUGAUGGAGGGGGAUAACUACUGGAAACGGUAGCUAAUACCGCAUACCAUCAGAUGUGCCCAGAUGGGAUUAGCUAGUCGGGGGGGUAACGGCUCACCGAGGCGACAAUCCCUAUCUGGUCUGCGAGGAUGACCAGCCACACGGGAACUGAGACACGGUCCAGACUCCUACGGGCGGCAGCGGUGGGGAAUAUUUCACAAUGGGCGCAAGCCUGAUGCAGCCAUGCCGCGUGUGUGAAGAAGGCCUUCGGGUUGUAAAGCACUUGCAGCGGGGAGGCGUUACCCGCAGAAGAAGCACCGGCUAACUCCGUGCCAGCAGCCGCGGUAAUAC
RNAcentral lists this ribosomal RNA (406 nucleotides) under uncultured bacterium. RNAcentral's name for it is "partial 16S ribosomal RNA". It matches the Rfam family "Bacterial small subunit ribosomal RNA", at positions 29 to 526 of the family's 1533-position model. The record is from RNAcentral.